This is a long non-coding RNA of Arabidopsis lyrata subsp. lyrata, 1139 nucleotides long. RefSeq lists it as uncharacterized. The record is from RefSeq and is a predicted model, not a curated record. The transcript has 3 exons. Lineage: Eukaryota; Viridiplantae; Streptophyta; Magnoliopsida; Brassicales; Brassicaceae.
UUUUUUCCUAUCAGGCGCGUGAGGAUAUAUAAGUCUACCGAGAACAGUGCUGCGACGGUAGUAGAGGCAGAAGCUGCAGAGGUUGAAAUCAAUGAAGAGGUUGUGAGUACAUUGUAGGAAGCUUUUAUUCUCCAAUUAAGUCGAGAUUGAAAAGUCAAGCUGGGGAUUUGAUUUGACGAUUUUGUCGACAACUUGAUUGAGAUGGAAGUUCAGUUGCAAAGAAGAAAUAAUUUGUGUGGAGGAUCAGGAAGUUAACAACUUCAACACAGCCAAAAAUCUUCAAAUCUCGAGCAGCAAAAGUUUCUCGAAUUCACGCAAUGAAUAUGAGAAUGAAACUAGAGAAACCAAAUCCUCAACAGAAUCCGUCGCUUUAUUAGAAGCUGAAGAAGGUCAUGACUGAGAGCUCGAGUACAUAACCAAGUUCAUAGUCUCUGGCCAACUGAUGAUAAAAGAAUUCUCCUUGGGGAUGGCUACUGAUAUUACCUCUGAGCUUUUUCGAUGAAAUUGAAGGUAAGAGAGAUGCCCAGAGUAAGAUUGAGAGAAAAACACUGGUCGACUUUGUGCUUAUCAAAUGCGAGCAAAUGUUCAUGGGAAGCUAUAGAGGAUUGUUGGGGAGAGAAGUCAUUUUUCUUGAAAGAAGAGAGAAUUUGACAGAAGAAGUGAAUAAAGAGGUUCAGGGAUUGAAGAAACCAUGGUCCCAAGAGUUCGCUCAUUACACACUUGCAUCGAAUUGGAAUUAGAUUUGAGAAAAACUUUUCAAUCCCCAAAAAUUCUAUGUAUCAAAAAAACACACAUUUCAAUUUUCUAGCUGAGAUUGAACCUUAGGCUCGCCGAAGAAGAAGAAAACGAUCAACGUUGUGACGGUGGAUUGAAAUUCAUUGUUGUGGAGGUUCUCGGUUCUUUUUUUUUCAAUCUCUCGCUAUCUCUCUUUCUUAAUGAAGAGAAGAAGGAUGUUCUAGUGGAUUCAGAGGUUUGACUUUACUAAGCCAAACCGAUAUGGGCCAUUCAAAUCCAACAGAAACCUUGGGCCAUUCGAAACCCAUCACUUCUCAGUCAUUAACGCCUGCAACAAGCAUAAAAGCGACACACAAAGUGUGUGUUCUAAGUAGUAAAUGGUUUUGGUAGUCAGAAAUUUAAAC